GUCUAUGGCCAUACCACCCUGAACGCACCCGAUCACGUCUGAUCUCAGAAGCUAAGCAGGGUCAGGCCUGGUUAGUACUUGGAUGGGAGAACCCUUGCCUUAGAGU
RNAcentral lists this ribosomal RNA (106 nucleotides) under Oryctolagus cuniculus (rabbit). Lineage: Eukaryota; Metazoa; Chordata; Mammalia; Lagomorpha; Leporidae. The record is from RNAcentral.